GGGGAUUUAGCUCAGUGGCAUAAGCACCUGCCUUGCAAGCAGGUGGUUGUGAUCCCUG
This 58-nucleotide transfer RNA is filed under the name Cavia porcellus (domestic guinea pig). Lineage: Eukaryota; Metazoa; Chordata; Mammalia; Rodentia; Caviidae. The record is from Rfam by way of RNAcentral.